RNAcentral lists this ribosomal RNA (632 nucleotides) under Bradyrhizobium sp. Its description in RNAcentral is "bacterial SSU rRNA". It matches the Rfam family "Bacterial small subunit ribosomal RNA", at positions 84 to 752 of the family's 1533-position model. Lineage: Bacteria; Pseudomonadati; Pseudomonadota; Alphaproteobacteria; Hyphomicrobiales; Nitrobacteraceae. The record is from RNAcentral.
GCAAUACGUCAGCGGCAGACGGGUGAGUAACGCGUGGGAACGUACCUUUUGGUUCGGAACAACACAGGGAAACUUGUGCUAAUACCGGAUAAGCCCUUACGGGGAAAGAUUUAUCGCCGAAAGAUCGGCCCGCGUCUGAUUAGCUAGUUGGUGAGGUAACGGCUCACCAAGGCGACGAUCAGUAGCUGGUCUGAGAGGAUGAUCAGCCACAUUGGGACUGAGACACGGCCCAAACUCCUACGGGAGGCAGCAGUGGGGAAUAUUGGACAAUGGGCGCAAGCCUGAUCCAGCCAUGCCGCGUGAGUGAUGAAGGCCCUAGGGUUGUAAAGCUCUUUUGUGCGGGAAGAUAAUGACGGUACCGCAAGAAUAAGCCCCGGCUAACUUCGUGCCAGCAGCCGCGGUAAUACGAAGGGGGCUAGCGUUGCUCGGAAUCACUGGGCGUAAAGGGUGCGUAGGCGGGUCUUUAAGUCAGGGGUGAAAUCCUGGAGCUCAACUCCAGAACUGCCUUUGAUACUGAGGAUCUUGAGUUCGGGAGAGGUGAGUGGAACUGCGAGUGUAGAGGUGAAAUUCGUAGAUAUUCGCAAGAACACCAGUGGCGAAGGCGGCUCACUGGCCCGAUACUGACGCUGAGC